This 253-nucleotide ribosomal RNA is filed under the name uncultured bacterium. Its description in RNAcentral is "partial 16S ribosomal RNA". It matches the Rfam family "Bacterial small subunit ribosomal RNA", at positions 524 to 776 of the family's 1533-position model. The record is from RNAcentral.
UACAGAGGUGUCAAACGUUGUCCGGAAUUACUGGGCAUAAAGCGCACGUAGGCGGUCCGUUAAGUCAUGUGUGAAAUCCCCCGGCUCAACCGGGGAAUUGCGCCUGAUACUGGCGGGCUAGAGGUCGAUAGGGGUGAGCGGAACUCCAGGUGGAGCGGUGAAAUGCGUAGAUAUCUGGAGGAACACCGGUGGCGAAAGCGGCUCACUGGAUCGAAACUGACGCUGAGGUGCGAAAGCGUGGGGAGCAAACAGG